UCUUUAGAGGUUUAUGUUAAGACUACUGUACUUGACUAAAUUUGAAUUAAAAAUAAAUAUUACUUAAGCACAGUGCAUACCUGUCAAAACUAAUUUGAAGUUUAAAUUAAUGUAGAUUGGCGCGAAGAAAAAUGAAGAGUACGUAUCUGAAUUGUUGCGUUAGCGAUAUGAGCCGUUGGAGGACGCGGACUCAUGUAACUUGCAUGCGUCCCUAUGGAAAAUGAUGGAAAAUGUUUAAUUUUUUACUGUUUUGAAAUAAAUACUUCAAUGACGUAAUGCGGUGUAAGAACAUCAACAGAAGAAUAUCUGAUGAGCAUCUAAGAUUAAAAUAAGAAAACACGAAAAAAAAAGUAUUUUAAAUUGAUUGGUAGCAAAAACCAAACUAAAUUCGUAACGAUAGACGUCAGCUACCCGAACGACAAUAAGAACAAUAUUAUUUAAUACCUUUGUUUAUUAUACCGGAGAAAAAAAUGCCGUUUUGUUAAAUUCAGAUAACCUGUAUCUUCAAGCCACAGUGAUUAAAUAACUUAUCCACUACUAUCGUAUUAGCUAUCGUACCAGUACUGCUACCUCGUGUUUUUGAAAACUUUUGCAUUGAUAAAUUAUAGUGUAUUGAUUUCUGCGAUGAAUAGUUUCGUAUUUAAAACACAGGAUAUUUAUAUUGACUAUAAAUUCUCUUGUAAAUAUGUUUUAAUUGCACACCGAGACUCUACGAAGGAAGAACGUAAAUUCAAAUGACAAUAUGAGAAUAAAAAAAAACAGUAAUAU
Long non-coding RNA from Bombyx mori (domestic silkworm), 768 nucleotides. RefSeq lists it as uncharacterized. The transcript is spliced from 2 exons. NCBI's taxonomy places the organism in Eukaryota, Metazoa, Arthropoda, Insecta, Lepidoptera, Bombycidae. The record is from RefSeq and is a predicted model, not a curated record.